UGUUAAGGUUUGAGAUGUAUUUUAUGACUGUGUUACGGGGUGGUUGGUAACCUGUCAAAGCCUAAUGCAGGUGUUCUAAAGUGAACUUAGGGAAGACAGAAACCUCCCACAGAGCAGAAGGGCAAAAGCUUGCUUGAUCUUGAUUUUUCAGUAUGAAUACAGGCCAUAAAAGUGGGGCCUCACAAUCAUCCUGGCUUUUUGGGAUUUAAGCAGGAGGUGUCAGAAAAGGUACCACA
RNAcentral lists this non-coding RNA (236 nucleotides) under Manacus vitellinus (golden-collared manakin). RNAcentral's name for it is "Eukaryotic large subunit ribosomal RNA". It matches the Rfam family "Eukaryotic large subunit ribosomal RNA", at positions 2577 to 2822 of the family's 3401-position model. Lineage: Eukaryota; Metazoa; Chordata; Aves; Passeriformes; Pipridae. The record is from Rfam by way of RNAcentral.